This 495-nucleotide ribosomal RNA is filed under the name uncultured bacterium. RNAcentral describes it as "partial 16S ribosomal RNA". It matches the Rfam family "Bacterial small subunit ribosomal RNA", at positions 28 to 507 of the family's 1533-position model. The record is from RNAcentral.
GACGAACGCUGGCGGCGUGCCUAAUACAUGCAAGUAGAACGCUGAAGGAGGAGCUUGCUUCUCUGGAUGAGUUGCGAACGGGUGAGUAACGCGUAGGUAACCUGCCUGGUAGCGGGGGAUAACUAUUGGAAACGAUAGCUAAUACCGCAUAAUAUUGACUAUUGCAUGAUAGUCAGUUGAAAGGUGCAACUGCACCACUACCAGAUGGACCUGCGUUGUAUUAGCUAGUUGGUGGGGUAACGGCUCACCAAGGCGACGAUACAUAGCCGACCUGAGAGGGUGAUCGGCCACACUGGGACUGAGACACGGCCCAGACUCCUACGGGAGGCAGCAGUAGGGAAUCUUCGGCAAUGGACGGAAGUCUGACCGAGCAACGCCGCGUGAGUAAAGAAGGUUUUCGGAUCGUAAAGCUCUGUUGUAAGGGAAGAACGAGUGUGAGAGUGGAAAGCUCACACUGUGACGGUAUCUUACCAGAAAGGGACGGCUAACUACGUG